UACGGAGGGUGCAAGCGUUAAUCGGAAUGACUGGGCGUAAAGCGCACGUAGGUGGUUUGCUAAGUCAGCUGUGAAAUCCCCGGGCUCAACCUGGGCACUGCAGUUGAAACUGGCAAGCUAGAGUAGGGUAGAGGGGUGUGGAAUUCCAGGUGUAGCGGUGAAAUGCGUAGAUAUCGGGAGGAACAUCAGUGGCGAAGGCGCCACCCUGGACUCAUACUGACACUGAGGUGCGAAAGCGUGGGGAGCAAACAGG
RNAcentral lists this ribosomal RNA (253 nucleotides) under uncultured bacterium. Its description in RNAcentral is "partial 16S ribosomal RNA". It matches the Rfam family "Bacterial small subunit ribosomal RNA", at positions 524 to 776 of the family's 1533-position model. The record is from RNAcentral.